This 1293-nucleotide ribosomal RNA is filed under the name uncultured Acinetobacter sp. Its description in RNAcentral is "bacterial SSU rRNA". It matches the Rfam family "Bacterial small subunit ribosomal RNA", at positions 158 to 1437 of the family's 1533-position model. Lineage: Bacteria; Pseudomonadati; Pseudomonadota; Gammaproteobacteria; Moraxellales; Moraxellaceae. The record is from RNAcentral.
GGACGCUAAUACCGCAUACGUCCUACGGGAGAAAGCAGGGGAUCUUCGGACCUUGCGCUAAUAGAUGAGCCUAAGUCGGAUUAGCUAGUUGGUGGGGUAAAGGCCUACCAAGGCGACGAUCUGUAGCGGGUCUGAGAGGAUGAUCCGCCACACUGGGACUGAGACACGGCCCAGACUCCUACGGGAGGCAGCAGUGGGGAGUAUUGGACAAUGGGGGGAACCCUGAUCCAGCCAUGCCGCGUGUGUGAAGAAGGCCUUUUGGUUGUAAAGCACUUUAAGCGAGGAGGAGGCUUACCUGGUUAAUACCUGGGAUAAGUGGACGUUACUCGCAGAAUAAGCACCGGCUAACUCUGUGCCAGCAGCCGCGGUAAUACAGAGGGUGCAAGCGUUAAUCGGAUUUACUGGGCGUAAAGCGCGCGUAGGUGGCUAAUUAAGUCAAAUGUGAAAUCCCCGAGCUUAACUUGGGAAUUGCAUUCGAUACUGGUUAGCUAGAGUAUGGGAGAGGAUGGUAGAAUUCCAGGUGUAGCGGUGAAAUGCGUAGAGAUCUGGNAGNGAAUACCGAUGGCGAAGGCAGCCAUCUGGCCUAAUACUGACACUGAGGUGCGAAAGCAUGGGGAGCAAACAGGAUUAGAUACCCUGGUAGUCCAUGCCGUAAACGAUGUCUACUAGCCGUUGGGGCCCUUGAGGCUUUAGUGGCGCAGCUAACGCGAUAAGUAGACCGCCUNGGNGNNGNANGUNACGGUCGCAAGACUAAAACUCAAAUGAAUUGACGGGGGCCCGCACAAGCGGUGGAGCAUGUGGUUUAAUUCGAUGCAACGCGAAGAACCUUACCUGGCCUUGACAUACAGAGAACUUUCCAGAGAUGGAUUGGUGCCUUCGGGAACUCUGAUACAGGUGCUGCAUGGCUGUCGUCAGCUCGUGUCGUGAGAUGUUGGGUUAAGUCCCGCAACGAGCGCAACCCUUUUCCUUAUUUGCCAGCACUUCGGGUGGGAACUUUAAGGAUACUGCCAGUGACAAACUGGAGGAAGGCGGGGACGACGUCAAGUCAUCAUGGCCCUUACGGCCAGGGCUACACACGUGCUACAAUGGUCGGUACAAAGGGUUGCUACUGCGCGAGCAGAUGCUAAUCUCAAAAAGCCGAUCGUAGUCCGGAUCGCAGUCUGCAACUCGACUGCGUGAAGUCGGAAUCGCUAGUAAUCGCAGAUCAGAAUGCCGCGGUGAAUACGUUCCCGGGCCUUGUACACACCGCCCGUCACACCAUGGGAGUUUGUUGCACCAGAAGUAGGUAGUCUA